Molecule: non-coding RNA, 98 nt
Organism: Brassica napus (rape)
Lineage: Eukaryota; Viridiplantae; Streptophyta; Magnoliopsida; Brassicales; Brassicaceae
Source: Rfam
GGAAUAUAAAAACCCGUCUCUUGACUUUUAACUAGAAAUGCUAAGAACCGUUUCUUAGUUUUUUUAGUUAAAAGUUAAGAGAUGGAUUCUUAUAUUCU